GCUCAGAUUGAACGCUGGCGGCAGGCCUAACACAUGCAAGUCGAACGGUAACAGGAAGCAGCUUGCUGCUUUGCUGACGAGUGGCGGACGGGUGAGUAAUGUCUGGGAAACUGCCUGAUGGAGGGGGAUAACUACUGGAAACGGUAGCUAAUACCGCAUAACGUCGCAAGACCAAAGAGGGGGACCUUCGGGCCUCUUGCCAUCGGAUGUGCCCAGAUGGGAUUAGCUAGUAGGUGGGGUAAAGGCUCACCUAGGCGACGAUCCCUAGCUGGUCUGAGGGGAUGACCAGCCACACUGGAACUGAGACACGGUCCAGACUCCUACGGGAGGCAGCAGUA
This 338-nucleotide ribosomal RNA is filed under the name uncultured bacterium. RNAcentral describes it as "bacterial SSU rRNA". It matches the Rfam family "Bacterial small subunit ribosomal RNA", at positions 22 to 356 of the family's 1533-position model. The record is from RNAcentral.